GCAUGUCGUUGGAAGCCCAAGCUCAACUGUGUCCCUGAGGGGAUGUCCAGGUUGCUGUCCUGCUGUAAACUGGGGCGGUUCCCAGGGCCCAAAAGGAGUGCCUGGGAGAUUCCGCUGGGUCUCACAGACCUUCCAGAAGUAUGUACGCAGCAUCCAAUGCAGCAGCAGCAGCAGCCUUGCACUUUGCCAUCAUCCCUCGACCCCUGUCUGUCUCCUUUCGUUUAUGACUGCUGAAGAUUUUUGCAUGAAAACGCGGUUUUCUUGGUCUUCUGAGGGCUUGGCUUCCUGCUGCUGAUCCUCACCUGAAGCCAUAAUUCUCCAUUUGUGGCUCAAUAACUGGCUCCCAGGGUGCAUCUCUUCGGCUCUGACCGUGUGCCCAGCAUUGUGUCUGGUGUCCCAAUAACACUAAAGAGACAGAAGACAGGCAUCAUCUCAGCCUUUGGGAAGCUUCUCCUACAGACACGGAGAUAAAGUGAACAUCUCAAAGCAUCUUACUCUUUUUCUUCAAGUGGGAAGUGAGGAGCUUGUUUUUAUCACAUGUAUCCUCUUACUACAUGGGAACUCUCUCUCUCUGCUAAUUGCUGUCAGGAUCCAUCAAGAUCACCGACAGAGCAGCAUUCCAGCCAGAGGGGCCUUGCAGCCCAGUUUUUCAGAGUCAGCGUAUUACAACUAGAUGGAUCCUAUCUAAGGCUUAUCUUAAAGAUGGAGAACCUAAGCUAUGCUGCUAAUGAAGAUCAAUGCUGGAGCACCAAAAGAAAAGAAGAAGGAGGUCAUGCCAUCUGGCCACCACUGCCCAUCCUUCUCGAAUGCCCACCAGGUGACCCAGCACCCAAAUGGCAUCAGUCAGAAGCAGUUAGGUUGGGAAUCCUAGCCGCACCCGCUUCUGUGCACUCUUCGUUUCCUCCUGUUUCAAUGCACGACGCUUCCUGCCUCCAUCAGAGGGGACUCGCACUUGCGGUCUUCAUUACAGGUUCAUCCUCCACUGGGAUGAUUUGUGUUCUAAAAUCUCCCGCCUUUACCACGGACCCAGUAGCUUCAGGUAUUUGCCUCUGCUCUUAUCACAGGGUCUCGUCUUCAAUGGACGUUGACCUCAUCAUCACCCACUCCGUCUUUUGCUGCCACCAUUUGGGCGGAACGUGACACCCACCCACUCCGCUACAGCCACUGCUUUGUCAGCUCAUCAUCAGCCUCCAAGCUGGUGAGUUCCGGGGUCUCUUCCGUGUCAUUAAGUCUAUUUUCCAGUCAUGUGGCCGGUUCCUUUGGCUUCCUGAAGCCAAAGUUUUGCCAGCUGGUUUUGGCUUCACUCCCACCGCUCUCUCCAGCGCCCACUCCCGCCUCCCAGCCUGUCUUCACAAAGUCUUCUCUGCUGGAUCCCCCUCCCCUGCUCUGAUCCAAAUGUUGGAUCAGUUGUGGGUCCGCUUUUCUUCUUUACCUGCACACUCUCCUUAGGUGACCUCAUCCACUUCCGUGGCUUUAAAUACCAUCUUCAUGAUAAUGACUUCCAAAUUUAUAUCUCCAGCACUAACACCCUAAUGCUGCAGACUCAUAUAUCCUGCUAACUUGACAUUUCUACUUAGGUGACUAAUGGGUAUCUCAACUUAAUACAUUAAAAAAAAAAAGGGCUUAAUUUUCUCAACUUACUGCCAAAGUUGUUCCUCCCUUACUGUUCGCCAUCUUGGUAAAUGUCACCACCUUUUCCCCAGUGGCUCAAACUCAAGCCUGGGAGCCAUCUGUAAAUCAUCUAAGCAUUUUACUCCAACAUCCAGCCCAUAAGUGAGCCUUGUGGGGACUCUUCUUAGGAGAGACUCUGGAUCUUUUCACCUCUCUCCAUCUCCCCUGCUGCUCUGAGUGCCCCCAAAUCCACCAUUCCUUCCCUUAGCAUUUGUGACAGUCUCCUGACUGUUCUCUGUGCUACCUGUAUUGCUUCUCAGAAUUUGGUCUUUAUAUAGAACACUCAGUGUUCUUUGAAAAUUGUAAAUCAGAUCUCAUCACUUAUCUACCCAAGGACCUUAAAAAAUCCCCACUUGCAUUUAAAUUUAAACUAUUUGCCAUGCCUAACAAGUUGUUAUGUGAGCUGGUCCCAUCUAGUUUUUUUCUUUUUUUUGUGGGCAAAGGAGUUCAUUUUAUUUUUUAAUAUUUAUUUAUUUGGGUGUACCAGGUCUUAGUUGCAGCAUGCAGGAUCUUUUUCUAGUUGAAGUAUGCUGGAUCUUUGGUUGUGGCAUUCAGACUCUUAGUUGUGGCCUGUGGGAUCUAGUUCCCUGACUAGGGAUUGAACCCGGCUGCCAUGCAUUGGGAGCUAAGUGUCUUAGCCACUGGACCACCAGGGAAAUCUCCCUCCAAUCCCCCAAUCCUACCUUUGACCUCAUCUCAUACUGCACUUGACUUCUCUGAGUAUAUUUUGUCCACUCUGGUGUUUUUCCUUCCUUCUCUUCCUCCUCUCCUUCUCUUCCUUCCCUCCUUCCUUCCUUUCCUCUUCCCUCCCUCCUCUAAACAUCAAGUCCAUUUCUUCCUGACAUCCUGUGUUGAUUUUCUCUUGCCCUGUAAUAAAUGGGCAGAGGCUUAUACACUAGCACAUGUAGUUGGCUGCUUUCUCUUCUUCUUCUCAAUUUGUUGUGGGGCCCCAGACGUCUUGGGGGUGUGUGGUGGGGAACAGGGGACAGCUUAACAAAAGGACCUGACAGGGAGCAGAAUAAAGCCUUCCAGACCCUUUUUCCUUGCAGCAGAAGUCACACUCCAUGACUAAUCAGGAGCCGGAAGUCCUGAGGCUGCAGAGGACAAAAGGAAAUAUAAAUGUUACAUAAGGAUAAUAGCACCGAUCUGAAAGCUCUGCAAUUGGGAGAAGCAUCUCUGUACCCUCCCUCAGCCUCCAGAGCUUCCUUCUCUCCUGUGAAAAGUUUCAGUUUUGGAGCUGAAAACAAAAAGUGCACUCAGAAGAGAUCUGCAGAGUCUGGCCACACAGACAGACCCUGGUCUCCCCUGGGUGGGUCAGAAAAUUGAGAAGGAGAUACACGCUUUGCUCCCCUUAUAGGUGUGAGGUGCAAAAUGUUGAAUAAAUGAAAAUAAACACAGACCUAGAAGCGGGGAAGAGUGUUGGAGUCCUGGCUCUCUUAUUUCUGCACAUGUACCUGGGCAAAGUGAUUAAUCUGAGUCCCAGUUCCUCAUCUGUAAAGUAAGGACAAACACGUGUACCUGCCUGGGCUG
Cervus elaphus (red deer) is the source of this 3201-nucleotide long non-coding RNA. RefSeq lists it as uncharacterized. The record is from RefSeq and is a predicted model, not a curated record. The transcript is spliced from 5 exons. Lineage: Eukaryota; Metazoa; Chordata; Mammalia; Artiodactyla; Cervidae.